GGCAGGGUCCGAAGGGUGCGGGCCGCGCCUGGAAUGCUCCCCGCCGGCUCUGGGGAGCGAGGGCGGCCGCUGCCGCCUGUGGCACAUGGAGCGGUUUCUCCCUUCACCGCUCUCUCGUCUGUCACCGCUUCGGAGCGACGGGACAGCGGAAUGAAAACCCUGGCUACCGCUGCCGCCCGACUUUGGGCUCCCUUACUUCGUCUUCGAUUCCUUCGAAGGGGGGCGAGGGGUCUGUGCCAGCUAGAGGUGCUGCCACUCCUGGCUCCACUCUCCUGUCUCCCUGCACCGAGCAUCAUAGCUGGGAAGCAGCGCGAAGCCACCGGGCCAGUCCCUGGGAAGGUCUUGCCAAGGCGGGCGUCGUGUAUGUCGGGGCUGAGGGGAGGAGAGAAGCUCCCCCGCCCCCCUUAAAUCUUGACAGAUGACUUAGCUAGAAAUGAACAUGUCCCCUUUUGAAAAGAGCUUCUUCCCGUUUCCAACCGCCCUACCGAACCGGGAUCUACCCUAGCCUCACCCGGAGCUCCCUCUGCCCCCGCCGCCCAGCCCGGCUCCCUUCCCCGGCCCCUUACCCGGGCUCGGAGCCUAAGAUUGUCCCAGCAUGAGUGACAUUGGCUUUCCUAAUGUAAUGACUUAUGAAAGAUAUAAUCAUGUGUUAAAUUGAAUCCUCCGCUUAACUGUUAAUGGUGUGCUCUGGGCACAUUUACGUAUUAGAUGCUAUGGUAACUAAUUACCACUAGAAGAAGGGAUAAUACACUUUCCAGACUUUGACAAAUAAUUAUGAGUGUUCACAUCCCUGCUAGCAGCAGUUGCAGCGGAUCUGCUGGAAUGAGCCGGAGGGAUCCCGAGGCUGUAAGCAAACGGCGAAACAGGUCCUUAUUGGAGCGGGACAAAACUUUGGGGAAGUCGCUCUGGGCUCCGCGCCUGCCCCGGCCCCCGCCGCUCUCCCGCUCCGCGGGGUCGCUGCUGCCCGUCGGGGCCCGUCCGGUGUCUGGGAAGGCUCCGGCACUAAAGGAGCCUAUCAGAGGCGUAACAGAGCUUCUCUGUGGAGUAUUGCUCUUGGCUGAGGCAGGCGCCGCAGGGGUUAAGCCGCUUGUGCCCGCCGCUCCGGGGCCAUCCUGCCGGGGCAGGGGCUAAGGUGGGAUCCGCUGCCGGGAGCAGGAGACGGCGUGGCUGCCCCGGCCCCCCGGCCCGACUCCGGAGCUCCUACCAGCCAAAUACAUCGCAGAAGGGACAUCUGCUAAAUGAGCAAAGAGCUGAAGCCAGCCCCAUUUCCCCGGGGUCACCCAUCAGCUCGGUGUCACCCAGCCCGCCCCCCGCACAUCCCCGAAGCGCUCCGGAGGGGAAUUUGCUCUGGUUCGGUUGGUUCUCCAGCCUCAGGAAGGGUUAAAUCUUUCCCCAAGCCCCUAGUUGCCCUUGUCCUCUCAACCUGAUUCAGAGACGUGUAAUAAAAUAGGAAGCAAAUUUAUGGUCUGUUUCAAGCACUUUACUGCUGUAUUUUUAAAUUCAUAUAUGCACACAUAAGAACUAUGAUCUGUGAAUAAUUUGAAAUGCUAUAGGAAAAUGAUGUAUUUUAGAUCAAACAUAACCGUUUUCUUACAUAAUUGUCUUGGAUUAAAAUAAAAAAUAAAGAUACUUUUCGAACAGAGACAAA
Molecule: long non-coding RNA, 1648 nt
Organism: Pipra filicauda (Wire-tailed manakin)
Lineage: Eukaryota; Metazoa; Chordata; Aves; Passeriformes; Pipridae
Exons: 2
Source: RefSeq, a predicted model, not a curated record